RNAcentral lists this ribosomal RNA (416 nucleotides) under Eysarcoris aeneus. RNAcentral's name for it is "partial large subunit ribosomal RNA". The record is from RNAcentral. Lineage: Eukaryota; Metazoa; Arthropoda; Insecta; Hemiptera; Pentatomidae.
AAAUAGCCGCAGUAUUUUGACUGUGCGAAGGUAGCAUAAUCAUUUGUCUUUUAAUUGAAGGCUUGUAUGAAGGGUUGGAUGAGGGAAUAACUUUCUUUAUAUUAAAAAUUGAAUUUAAUUUUUAGGUUAAAAAGCUUAAAUUUUUAAAAGGGACGAGAAGACCCUAUAGAAUUUUAUUUUAAGUAUAAUAUUUAUUAUUUUGGUUAUUAUAAUAUUAUUAUUAUAAAAAUUUUGUUGGGGUGAUAGUGAGAUUUUAUUAACUCUUAUAAUUUAUUUAUUGUAAAUUAGCAUAUUUAUGAUCCUAUUUUAUGGAUAAUUAGAUUAAAUUACCUUAGGGAUAACAGCGUAAUUUUUCUGGAGAGUUCAUAUCGAUAGAAGAGUUUGCGACCUCGAUGUUGGAUUAAAAUUAAAUUUAA